Molecule: long non-coding RNA, 568 nt
Organism: Lates calcarifer (barramundi perch)
Lineage: Eukaryota; Metazoa; Chordata; Actinopteri; Centropomidae
Exons: 3
Source: RefSeq, a predicted model, not a curated record
AGGAGAGGAGGAGGAGGAGGAGGUGGAGGGCAAUAUGAAGAGUGCACCUUCUCCAUCACAAAGAAAAGCAUCAGUUUAUUUCAUAUUGUCUAAAUGAUACACAUGAACAAUCCAUCUGUUCACAUUAAUUAUUGAAAAGUGAACUAUUAUUCCUCUUGUCUGCAUUUUUUAGAAAGAGGAGAGGAGAAGAUACGACUGAAGAGAAGAGAAAAAUCAGAGUGGAGGAGAGGAGAGGAGGUGGAGGGCAACAUGAUCUGUAAACUGUCUCAUGUAAAAGAGAGAAACAAUUAGAGACAUUAAAAGACGAAAAAGACUUUAAAAAGAAGAGAGGAGAAAUUAAAGUAGAAAAAAGGAGAGGAGAGGAGGUGGAGGGCAAUAUGUCCUGUAAACCCUCUGAUGUAAAAGAGAAGAAACAAUUAGAGAAGAAAAGAGACAUGAAGAGAUGAGGAAAAAGGAGGAGAGGAGAGGAGGUGGAGGGCAUUAUGAGGAGUGAACACUCACAUAUAAAAUGUAGGAAGCUAACAUGUCUGAAAAGCAGUCUGAGCAGCUUUACCUGACAUGUAAUAUC